This 468-nucleotide ribosomal RNA is filed under the name uncultured bacterium. RNAcentral describes it as "partial 16S ribosomal RNA". It matches the Rfam family "Bacterial small subunit ribosomal RNA", at positions 28 to 507 of the family's 1533-position model. The record is from RNAcentral.
GACGAACGCUGGCGGCGUGCUUAACACAUGCAAGUCGAACGGAAAGGCCCUGCUUUUGUGGGGUGCUCGAGUGGCGAAGGGGUGAGUAACACGUGAGUAACCUGCCCUUGACUUUGGGAUAACUUCAGGAAACUGGGGCUAAUACCGGAUAGGAGCUCCUGCUGCAUGGUGGGGGUUGGAAAGUUUCGGCGGUUGGGGAUGGACUCGCGGCUUAUCAGCUUGUUGGUGGGGUAGUGGCUUACCAAGGCUUUGACGGGUAGCCGGCCUGAGAGGGUGACCGGCCACAUUGGGACUGAGAUACGGCCCAGACUCCUACGGGAGGCAGCAGUGGGGAAUAUUGCACAAUGGGCGGAAGCCUGAUGCAGCAACGCCGCGUGCGGGAUGACGGCCUUCGGGUUGUAAACCGCUUUCGGCUGUGACGAAGCGUGAGUGACGGUAAUGGGUAAAGAAGCACCGGCUAACUACGUG